GACGAACGCUGGCGGCGUGCUUAACACAUGCAAGUCGAACGGAAAGGCCCUGCUUUUGUGGGGUGCUCGAGUGGCGAACGGGUGAGUAACACGUGAGUAACCUGCCCUUGACUUUGGGAUAACUUCAGGAAACUGGGGCUAAUACCGGAUAGGAGCUCCUGCUGCAUGGUGGGGGUUGGAAAGUUUCGGCGGUUGGGGAUGGACUCGCGGCUUAUCAGCUUGUUGGUGGGGUAGUGGCUUACCAAGGCUUUGACGGGUAGCCGGCCUGAGAGGGUGACCGGCCACAUUGGGACUGAGAUACGGCCCAGACUCCUACGGGAGGCAGCAGUGGGGAAUAUUGCACAAUGGGCGGAAGCCUGAUGCAGCAACGCCGCGUGCGGGAUGACGGCCUUCGGGUUGUAAACCGCUUUCGCCUGUGACGAAGCGUGAGUGACGGUAAUGGGUAAAGAAGCACCGGCUAACUACGUGCCAGCAGCCGCGGUGAUACGUAGGGUGCGAGCGUUGUCCGGAUUUAUUGGGCGUAAAGGGCUCGUAGGUGGUUGAUCGCGUCGGAAGUGUAAUCUUGGGGCUUAACCCUGAGCGUGCUUUCGAUACGGGUUGACUUGAGGAAGGGUAGGGGAGAAUGGAAUUCCUGGUGGAGCGGUGGAAUGCGCAGAUAUCAGGAGGAACACCAGUGGCCAAUGCGGUUCUCUGGGCCUUUCCUGACUCUGAGGAACGAAAAGCGUGGGGAGCGAACAGGCCUUAAAUCCCCUGGUAGUCCACGCCUGUAAACGGUGGGUACUAGGUGUGGGGUCCAUUCCACGGGUUCCGUGCCGUAGCUAACGCUUUAAGUACCCCGCCUGGGGAGUACGGCCCCAGGGCUAAAACUCAAAGGAAUUGACGGGGCCCCGCACAAGCGGCGGAGCAUGCGGAUUAAUUCGAUGCAACGCGUAGAACCUUACCUGGGUUUGACAUGGAUCGGGAGUGCUCAGAGAUGGGUGUGCCUCUUUUGGGGUCGGUUCACAGGUGGUGCAUGCCUGUCGUCAGCUCGUGUCGUGAGAUGUUGGGUUAAGUCCCGCAACGAGCGCAACCCUUGUUCACUGUUGCCAGCACGUUAUGGUGGGGACUCAGUGGAGACCGCCGGGGUCAACUCGGAGGAAGGUGGGGAUGACGUCAAGUCAUCAUGCCCCUUAUGUCCAGGGCUUCACGCAUGCUACAAUGGCUGGUACAGAGAGCUGGCGAGCCUGUGAGGGUGAACGAAUCUCGGAAAGCCGGUCUCAGUUCGGAUUGGGGUCUGCAACUCGACCUCAUGAAGUCGGAGUCGCUAGUAAUCGCAGAUCAGCAACGCUGCGGUGAAUAAGUUCCCGGGGCU
RNAcentral lists this ribosomal RNA (1351 nucleotides) under uncultured bacterium. RNAcentral's name for it is "bacterial SSU rRNA". It matches the Rfam family "Bacterial small subunit ribosomal RNA", at positions 28 to 1381 of the family's 1533-position model. The record is from RNAcentral.